GACGAACGCUGGCGGCGUGCUUAACACAUGCAAGUCGAACGGAAAGGCCCUGCUUUUGUGGGGUGCUCGUUUGGCGAACGGGUGAGUAACACGUGAGUAACCUGCCCUUGACUUUGGGAUAACUUCAGGAAACUGGGGCUAAUACCGGUUAGGAGCUCCUGCUGCAUGGUGGGGGUUGGAAAGUUUGGGCGGUUUGGGAUGGACUCGCGGCUUAUCGGCUUGUUUGGGGGGUAGUGGCAGACCAAGGGUUUGACGGGUAGCCGGCCUGAGAGGGGGACCGGCCACAAUAGGACUGAGAUACGGCGCAGACUCCUACGGGACGCAGCAGGGGAGAAUAUGGCAGAAUGGGGGGAAGCCAGAUGCGGCAGCGCCGCGAGCGGGAUGACGGGCUACGGGUUGAGAACAGCUGUCGCAGGAGACGAGGCGUGAGUGACGGUAAUGGGUAAAGAAGCACCGGCUAACUACGUG
RNAcentral lists this ribosomal RNA (468 nucleotides) under uncultured bacterium. Its description in RNAcentral is "partial 16S ribosomal RNA". It matches the Rfam family "Bacterial small subunit ribosomal RNA", at positions 28 to 507 of the family's 1533-position model. The record is from RNAcentral.